ACGGAACGAAAAUAGGGACGUCUAAAUGGUUUAAACUAAUGUAUAAGUUUUUUCUUUUUUCUUUUUUCUUUUGGGAAUAAAGAGAAGUGUAGGGAUAAUAGUGGUUAGGUUUCUUAUAUUUUAGAAGGUAAUUCACAUUUGUGUAUGCUUAUUCAUUCAAUUUUUUUAUUUUAUUUAUUUAUUUAUUUAUUUUUAUUUUGUAUGCUUAUUUAAAAAUCUUAUUAUUUAAUCAAUAAAAUAAAAAGAUAAUUCCUUUCAAUUAUUUCUUAUUUUUAAUAAUUUUUUUGUCACUUUUACGGUGCCAAUAACAUCGGCCACCAUCACCAC
This 327-nucleotide long non-coding RNA is filed under the name Vigna radiata. Its description in RNAcentral is "long non-coding RNA (VRAD_LNC001842)". Lineage: Eukaryota; Viridiplantae; Streptophyta; Magnoliopsida; Fabales; Fabaceae. The record is from RNAcentral.